This 253-nucleotide ribosomal RNA is filed under the name uncultured bacterium. RNAcentral describes it as "partial 16S ribosomal RNA". It matches the Rfam family "Bacterial small subunit ribosomal RNA", at positions 524 to 776 of the family's 1533-position model. The record is from RNAcentral.
UACGAAGGGUGCAAGCGUUAUUCGGAAUUACUGGGCGUAAAGCGUUCGUAGGCGGUUUGUUAAGUCUGAUGUGAAAGCCCUGGGCUCAACCUGGGAAUUGCAUUGGAUACUGGCAGGCUAGAGUGCGGUAGAGGAUGGCGGAAUUCCCGGUGUAGCAGUGAAAUGCGUAGAGAUCGGGAGGAACAUCUGUGGCGAAGGCGGCCAUCUGGGCCAGCACUGACACUGAGGCACGAAAGCGUGGGGAGCAAACAGG